This 57-nucleotide transfer RNA is filed under the name Hammerschmidtiella sp. ZengetLiu-2016. Its description in RNAcentral is "tRNA-Leu". The record is from RNAcentral. Lineage: Eukaryota; Metazoa; Nematoda; Chromadorea; Rhabditida; Thelastomatidae.
UUAUAUUUAGUAUAAUAAAUACACAAAAUUUAGGUUUUUGAGAUAUAGAAGUAUAAU